Molecule: ribosomal RNA, 318 nt
Filed under: uncultured eukaryote
Lineage: Eukaryota
Description: partial 18S ribosomal RNA
Rfam family: Eukaryotic small subunit ribosomal RNA
Source: RNAcentral
CCCUUCGAUGUUCGGAGCUGCACGCGCGCUACACUGUGGGUGGCAGCAUGUUAGCUUGCCUCGCUCGCAAGAGUGGGGUAAUCGUUUGAAAAUCCCACGUGAUUGGGAUAGGGACUUGUAAUUAUUUCCCUUGAACGAGGAAUCCCUAGUAAGUGCAGGUCAUCAGCUUGCGCUGAUUACGUCCCUGCCCUUUGUACACACCGCCCGUCGCACCUACCGAUUGAAUGGUCCGGUGAAGCCUCCGGAUUGCACAGGCCCCGUGUCUGGCGCGAGAAGUUGGCUAAACCUUACCAUUUAGAGGAAGGUGAAGUCGUANCA